Morus notabilis is the source of this 1273-nucleotide long non-coding RNA. RefSeq lists it as uncharacterized. NCBI's taxonomy places the organism in Eukaryota, Viridiplantae, Streptophyta, Magnoliopsida, Rosales, Moraceae. The transcript is spliced from 3 exons. The record is from RefSeq and is a predicted model, not a curated record.
UUGCUCCAUUGUGGAGCGACCUUUUGUUUUAUUGGGUGUGCUCGUGUGUGUGUGAGUGUGGCCGACCAAAACAGAGAGGGAGAGACAGGGAGGAGUUCAUGCUCCUCUUGCCAUUCUUUCCCACGUUUGCAGGUCCUCCACUCCGACCGGUCAUUGGCGGAUUCCGGCGACCGUGGACGAGCUGUUUCCGCUGCCCACCGGAAGAAGUAUGCCUAAAUCCCAACUAAGAAAUUUUUGUGGCAUUUUCGGAUUUUAAGCUAGAUUAGUGUUUUUGAUCUUGUUUAGAUCAUGUUUAGAUCGUUUUAAAUCUAGCAUCUCACCACCUCAUCUCUCUCUCUCCAUUUUCCUUCUCCUACCGCCGGAGCUCACGCCCGCCGUCGAUCCUCGCCGCCGUCAUAUCCUGCUCAUCGCGCGAGUCUAUCUCAUUUCUCCGCGACUAGAUAUGACUUCGCCGAUCCGAGACCUCGCCGGAUCUUCGAGUUUGCCCGCAUCGCCGUGGAGUUGUCGUGCCUUUACGGAUUGCCGACCUCGAGCGCCAGAUUCAGGCCAUGGGAGGCUUUGAGGCCGUGGCGGGCGUCGCGGCUCAAAUCCAGGCUUUAAGGGCUAGAGCCUGAUCGCCGAGAGCGGGUCGAGAACGAGUCAGAUCUUUUUGGAGGAGAAGAAGAGCGCGGAAGAAUAUGAGGAGAGAGAGAAGGAAGUAGUGGUGGUGGAGAAGGCGGUUAGGUUUUCGGAUGGAGAGGCGGCGAAGACGACCGGGAAGAAGACGAGGAGUGCUCUGAGGAUGGAUCGGAAGGAGAAGAAGUUCGAGCUCUGCAGAUCUAAGUUUGCUUAAAGUGGGUGGGAGAAUGGUGUACUCAACAUGCUUUAUGAAUCCAAUUGAGAAUGAAGCUGUGUUUGCUGAGCCUGGUAGACUAUAGGCUUAUGGCCGACUGACUGCCGAAAAAGCCACUAGAAACCCCGAUAGGUGGCCGCCGGAUAGCCACGGGACUGUUGUUGGAAAAGCCGUCGGAGGGUCCUCGGAAAAGUCACUGGACGGUUGGUGGAAAGUCACCUCAAAAGUCGUCGGAUGGUCGCCGGAAAUAUACCGGAGUGUCGCCGGAAGUUCGCCUAAGUGUCGCCAGAAAAGGCGCCUGACGGCCACCGGAGCCGCUGGUUGGAGGCAUCGACAUUUUGUAAACUAUCAAUUUACUUUGAGAGUAGUUUGGUAAUAUAUAUUAUGUAUUUGACUAAUGAUUGACUAGAAAUAAUGUUUAAUGGUUAAUAAUAAUUUAUU